AUUAACCGCGGUCGGCAUGCUUAACACAAUCCAGUCGAACGGUAACAGGAGAAAGCUUGUUUUCUUUCCUGACGAUGGCGGAGGGGUGAGUAAUGCUUGGGAAUCUGGCUUAUGGAGGGGGAUAACGACGGGAAACUGUCGCUAAUACCGCGUAGGAUCGAGAGAUGAAAAGUGCGGGACCGCAAGGCCGCAUGCCAUAGGAUGAGCCCAAGUGGGAUUAGGUAGUUGGUGGGGUAAUGGCCUACCAAGCCGACGAUCUCUAGCUGGUCUGAGAGGAUGACCAGCCACACCGGGACUGAGACACGGCCCGGACUCCUACGGGAGGCAGCAGUGGGGAAUAUUGCGCAAUGGGGGCAACCCUGACGCAGCCAUGCCGCGUGAAUGAAGAAGGCCUUCGGGUUGUAAAGUUCUUUCGGUGACGAGGAAGGCGUGAUGUUUAAUAGGCAUCACGAUUGACGUUAAUCACAGAAGAAGCACCGGCUAACUCCGUGCCAGCAGCCGCGGUAAAACGGAGGGUGCGAGCGUUAAUCGGAAUAACUGGGCGUAAAGGGCACGCAGGCGGCUAUUUAAGUGAGGUGUGAAAUCCCCGGGCUUAACCUGGGAAUUGCAUUUCAGACUGGGUAGCUAGAGUACUUUAGGGAGGGGUAGAAUUCCACGUGUAGCGGUGAAAUGCGUAGAGAUGUGGAGGAAUACCGAAGGCGAAGGCAGCCCCUUGGGAAUGUACUGACGCUCAUGUGCGAAAGCGUGGGGAGCAAACAGG
RNAcentral lists this ribosomal RNA (760 nucleotides) under uncultured Aggregatibacter sp. RNAcentral's name for it is "bacterial SSU rRNA". It matches the Rfam family "Bacterial small subunit ribosomal RNA", at positions 28 to 776 of the family's 1533-position model. Lineage: Bacteria; Pseudomonadati; Pseudomonadota; Gammaproteobacteria; Pasteurellales; Pasteurellaceae. The record is from RNAcentral.